AGCACUUGUGCUUGUGUCUUUGUUUAGUUUUGUAACAAGCCUUACAGACAGGUGCAAACAGUAAAUCCUUUUGCAAUCUGGAACUCAUUGUUGAAUAUGAGAUUUUGGUACACGGAAGAAGGAAUAUC
Perognathus longimembris pacificus (Pacific pocket mouse) is the source of this 128-nucleotide small nucleolar RNA. RefSeq annotates it as small nucleolar RNA SNORA40. The transcript has a single exon. The record is from RefSeq and is a predicted model, not a curated record. Lineage: Eukaryota; Metazoa; Chordata; Mammalia; Rodentia; Heteromyidae.